This is a non-coding RNA of Phrynosoma platyrhinos (Desert horned lizard), 71 nucleotides long. The record is from the annotation of a GenBank genome assembly. NCBI's taxonomy places the organism in Eukaryota, Metazoa, Chordata, Lepidosauria, Squamata, Phrynosomatidae.
GCCAGCGUAGUGUAGUGGUUUAAGCCUAGGACUACAACUCUGGAGACCAGGGUUCAAAUCUCUGCUUGGCC